AGCUAGCGGCUGUUGGGGAUGAAUGUUGUCCUAAAAGCAAAAGAAAAAAAAAGAACGAAACAACCAAAAAACGGAGAAGGGGGGGGGUUAGGGGCAAACACCACGUGGCUGCAGGAGGAUUACAAGAUUUCCUUUCCUUUCUCCACUGACAAGAUUGCAAAAUGUGUGAACCAGAAGGCACAGCCAGGACGGGAGCGUGAGGCACUGUAGGCAAGAUUUAUCCUCAGGUGUGGUGGCAUAUGUCUUUAACAUCAUCAUUCAGAAGACAGGCAGGUAGAGCUCUGUGAAUUUUGAGUCCAGCCUGGUCUACCUGCGUUUUUUUUUUUUUUUUUUUCCUCCCUACCGGAAAUCUGAUGGGCUUAUGACAUCAUGGCUGGCUGCUGAGCGAUGGAGUGGAUGCCACAAAGAAAUCCGACAUGUCAGAUGGAUUCAGAAAUCCCUUUCCCUCCUGCGGCUGGAGGAGCAGGCGUGGAGUCGGGAGAGUCUGAGCUUUGUUUGAGAAAUUAUUAAGGAAAAAAAAACAACUAAACCAAGUCUUGCCUGACAUUAGAGGCGAUUCUCUUAAAAACG
This 570-nucleotide long non-coding RNA is filed under the name Mus pahari (shrew mouse). RNAcentral describes it as "predicted gene 29019 (MGP_PahariEiJ_G0004816.1)". Lineage: Eukaryota; Metazoa; Chordata; Mammalia; Rodentia; Muridae. The record is from RNAcentral.